GAUGAACGCUGACAGAAUGCUUAACACAUGCAAGUCUUUGGCGAAGCUGUGCUUGCACAGCCUAGCCAAGGCGGACGGGUGAGUAACGCGUAAGGAACUUGCCCUGCAGUCAGGGAUAACAGACGGAAACGACUGAUAAGACCUGGUAAAGUCAGGCGGACUCAUGUCCAGCCUGAUGAAAAGAGAUGCUGCAGGAGAGCCUUGCGUCCUAUUAGCUUGUUGGUGGGGUAACGGCCCACCAAGGCGAUGAUAGGUAGCCGGCCUGAGAGGGUGGACGGCCACAAGGGGACUGAGAUACGGCCCUUACUCCUACGGGAGGCAGCAGUGGGGAAUAUUGGACAAUGGGGGCAACCCUGAUCCAGCAAUUCUGUGUGCACGAUGAAGGUUUUCGGAUUGUAAAGUGCUUUCAGCAGGGAAGAAAAAAAUGACGGUACCUGCAGAGGAAGCGACGGCUAAAUACGUG
Molecule: ribosomal RNA, 463 nt
Filed under: uncultured bacterium
Lineage: Bacteria
Description: partial 16S ribosomal RNA
Rfam family: Bacterial small subunit ribosomal RNA
Source: RNAcentral